Molecule: ribosomal RNA, 406 nt
Filed under: uncultured bacterium
Lineage: Bacteria
Description: partial 16S ribosomal RNA
Rfam family: Bacterial small subunit ribosomal RNA
Source: RNAcentral
AUUGAACGCUGGCGGCAGGCCUAACACAUGCAAGUCGAACGAGUGGCGGACCGGUGAGUAAUGUCUGGGAAACUGCCCGAUGGAGGGGGCUACCUCCUUGAAACGGUAGCUAAUACCGCAUACCAUCGGAUGUGCCCAGUUUGGAUUAGCUUGUAGGUGGGGUAAGGGCUGACCUAGGCUACGUUCCCUAGCUGGUCUGACGGGAUGACCAGCCACACUGGAACUGAGACACGGCCCAAACUCCUACGGGAGGCAGCAGUGGGGAAUGUUGCACAAUGGGCGCAAGCCUGAUGCAGCCAUGCCGCGUGUGUGAAGAAGGGCUGCGGGUUGUAAAGUACUUUCAGCGAGGAAGCGUUAAUCGCAGAAAAAGCACCGGCUAACUCCGUGCCAGCAGCCGCGGUAAUAC